This 261-nucleotide ribosomal RNA is filed under the name uncultured bacterium. RNAcentral's name for it is "partial 16S ribosomal RNA". It matches the Rfam family "Bacterial small subunit ribosomal RNA", at positions 333 to 605 of the family's 1533-position model. The record is from RNAcentral.
GGGAUCCUACGGGGGGCAGCAGUCGAGAAUCAUUCACAAUGGGGGAAACCCUGAUGGUGCGACGCCGCGUGGGGGAAUGAAGGUCUUCGGAUUGUAAACCCCUGUCAUGUGGGAGCAAAUUAAAAAGAUAGUACCACAAGAGGAAGAGACGGCUAACUCUGUGACAGCAGCCGCGGUAAUACAGAGGUCUCAAGCGUUGUUCGGAAUCACUGGGCGUAAAGCGUGCGUAGGCUGUUUCGUAAGUCUGGAGUGAAAGGCCGG